Molecule: ribosomal RNA, 253 nt
Filed under: uncultured bacterium
Lineage: Bacteria
Description: partial 16S ribosomal RNA
Rfam family: Bacterial small subunit ribosomal RNA
Source: RNAcentral
UACGGAGGGUGCAAGCGUUAUCCGGAAUCACUGGGUUUAAAGGGUGCGUAGGCGGCAUGAUAAGUCAGGGGUGAAAGCCUGCAGCUCAACUGUAGAAUCGCCUUUGAUACUGUUAUGCUUGAAUUAGGUUGAGGUCGGCGGAAUGUGACAUGUAGCGGUGAAAUGCAUAGAUAUGUCAUAGAACACCAAUUGCGAAGGCAGCUGGCUAGACCUGAAUUGACGCUGAGGCACGAAAGCGUGGGGAGCGGACAGG